ACCGUUCAAUGAUGAGGCCUUGCAAGAAGCGCCGGGCACGGCGCCCGACACGAAUGAGGAUAUCUUGCUGCCUUCCUGCUGAGAACGGU
This is a small nucleolar RNA of Tachyglossus aculeatus (Australian echidna), 89 nucleotides long. RefSeq annotates it as small nucleolar RNA U83B. The transcript has a single exon. The record is from RefSeq and is a predicted model, not a curated record. NCBI's taxonomy places the organism in Eukaryota, Metazoa, Chordata, Mammalia, Monotremata, Tachyglossidae.